GCCUGAUGCAGCCAUGCCGCGUGCAGGAUGACGGUCUUAUGGAUUGUAAACUGCUUUUAUACGAGAAAAAACACUCCUUCGUGAACGAGCUUGACGGUAUCGUAAGAAUAAGGAUCGGCUAACUCCGUGCCACCAGCCGCGGUAAUACUGACGAUCCUAGCGUUAUCCGGAAUCAUUGGGUUUAAAGGGUCCGUAUGCGGUUUAAUAAUUCAGUGGUGAAAGCCCAUCGCUCAACGGUGGAACGGCCAUUGAUACUGUUAGACUUGAAUUAUUAGGAAGUAACUAGAAUAUGUAGUGUAGCGGUGAAAUGCUUAAAGAUUACGUGGAAUACCAUUUGCGAAGGCUGGUUACUACUAAUUGAUUGACGCUUAUGGACGAAAGCGUGGGUAGCGAACAGGAUUAGAUACCCUGGUAGUCCACGCCGUAGACGAUGGAUACUAGCUGUUGGGAGCAAUUUCAGUGGCUAAACGAAAGUGAUCAGUAUCCCACCUGGGGAGUACGUUCGCAAGAAUGAAACUCAGAGGAAUUGACGGGGGCCCGCACAAGCGGUGGAACAUGUGGUUUAAUUCGAUGAUACGCGAGGAACCUUACCAAGGCUUAAAUGUAGAUUGACCGGUUUGGAAACAGACUUUUC
This 634-nucleotide ribosomal RNA is filed under the name Flavobacterium sp. So1Pw_1200. RNAcentral describes it as "bacterial SSU rRNA". It matches the Rfam family "Bacterial small subunit ribosomal RNA", at positions 381 to 1016 of the family's 1533-position model. The record is from RNAcentral. Lineage: Bacteria; Pseudomonadati; Bacteroidota; Flavobacteriia; Flavobacteriales; Flavobacteriaceae.